CGGGGUGAGUAACGCGUGGAGAACCUGCCGUAUACUGGGGGAUAACACUUAGAAAUAGGUGCUAAUACCGCAUAAGCGCACAGCUUCGCAUGAAGCAGUGUGAAAAACUCCGGUGGUAUACGAUGGAUCCGCGUCUGAUUAGCUGUUGGCGGGGUAAAGGCCCACCAAGGCGACGAUCAGUAGCCGGCCUGAGAGGGUGAACGGCCACAUUGGGACUGAGACACGGCCCAAACUCCUACGGAAGGCAGCAG
RNAcentral lists this ribosomal RNA (251 nucleotides) under uncultured bacterium. RNAcentral describes it as "partial 16S ribosomal RNA". It matches the Rfam family "Bacterial small subunit ribosomal RNA", at positions 100 to 354 of the family's 1533-position model. The record is from RNAcentral.